Populus euphratica (Euphrates poplar) is the source of this 346-nucleotide long non-coding RNA. RefSeq lists it as uncharacterized. The transcript has 3 exons. The record is from RefSeq and is a predicted model, not a curated record. Lineage: Eukaryota; Viridiplantae; Streptophyta; Magnoliopsida; Malpighiales; Salicaceae.
UGUUGGAUGUUCUCCACAAUGAUAGGUCCCAAUCAGGCUAUGAAUAUUAUAGUGCAGAUAGUAUUCUACUUAGGGUGAGAAUGAACCGCAAGAGUGUUUAUUUAUAAAAUUAAGCUUGCCUCUUUACUGCUUUUGAAAGAGUUUAAAUACAAAGAAGAAAAUAACAACCACUCCUAAUUCUGAGAUCAUAUCUCUAAGAAUUAGGACAUGAUCAUAUUAUUGAAAUUCAAAUACUAACUGCUAGACCUAUUCUUAAGCAAGCAUGCUUAGUGGACAUAACUAACAACUUAGACAAAGUCAUUGGCAAACAUAACUUCUCUCUGCAUGUUUCUUGCACCUGGAAGUU